Molecule: transfer RNA, 72 nt
Filed under: Cyclobacteriaceae bacterium
Lineage: Bacteria; Pseudomonadati; Bacteroidota; Cytophagia; Cytophagales; Cyclobacteriaceae
Description: tRNA-Thr
Rfam family: tRNA
About the family: Transfer RNA (tRNA) molecules are approximately 80 nucleotides in length. Their secondary structure includes four short double-helical elements and three loops (D, anti-codon, and T loops).
Source: RNAcentral
GCCGAGAUAGCUCAGGGGUAGAGCAGCUGUUUCGUAAACAGCAGGUCGUCAGUUCAAAUCUGAUUCUCGGCU